UAGGGAAUCUUGGUCAAUGGGCGCAAGCCUGAACCAGCCAUGCCGCGUGUGCGAAGAAGGCCCUAGGGUUGUAAAGCACUUUCAGUCGCGAAGAAAAGCUUAGAGUUAAUACCUCUGAGUCUUGACGUUAACGACAGAAGAAGUACCGGCUAACUCCGUGCCAGCAGCCGCGGUAAUACGGAGGGUACGAACGUUAAUCGGAAUUACUGGGCGUAAAGCGCGCGUAGGCGGUUUGAUAAGUGGGAUGUGAAAGCCCCGGGCUUAACCUGGGAACUGCAUUCCAAACUGUCAGACUAGAGUAUGGUAGAGGCUGGUAGAAUUUCCUGUGUAGCGGUGAAAUGCGUAGAUAUAGGAAGGAAUACCGAUGGCGAAGGCAGCCAGCUGGACCAAUACUGACGCUGAGGUGCGAAAGCGUGGGGAGCAAACAGGAUUAGAUACCCGUGUAGUCC
RNAcentral lists this ribosomal RNA (449 nucleotides) under uncultured prokaryote. Its description in RNAcentral is "bacterial SSU rRNA". It matches the Rfam family "Bacterial small subunit ribosomal RNA", at positions 355 to 796 of the family's 1533-position model. The record is from RNAcentral.